UGGAAGACUAGUGAUUUUGUUGUUGUCUCACUGUGCGCUCAACAACAAGUCCCAGUCUGCCGCA
Molecule: microRNA precursor, 64 nt
Filed under: Dasypus novemcinctus (nine-banded armadillo)
Lineage: Eukaryota; Metazoa; Chordata; Mammalia; Cingulata; Dasypodidae
Description: microRNA dno-mir-7 precursor (dno-mir-7-2)
Gene: dno-mir-7-2
Rfam family: mir-7 microRNA precursor family
About the family: This family represents the microRNA (miRNA) precursor mir-7. In this case the mature sequence comes from the 5' arm of the precursor.
Source: miRBase by way of RNAcentral